This 468-nucleotide ribosomal RNA is filed under the name uncultured bacterium. RNAcentral's name for it is "partial 16S ribosomal RNA". It matches the Rfam family "Bacterial small subunit ribosomal RNA", at positions 28 to 507 of the family's 1533-position model. The record is from RNAcentral.
GACGAACGCUGGCGGCGUGCUUAACACAUGCAAGUCGAACGGAAAGGCCCUGCUUUUGUGGGGUGCUCGAGUGGCGAACGGGUGAGUAACACGGGAGUAACCUGCCCUUGACUUUGGGAUAACUUCAGGAAACUGGGGCUAAUACCGGAUAGGAGCUCCUGCUGCAUGGUGGGGGUUGGAAAGUUUCGGCGGUUGGGGAUGGACUCGCGGCUUAUCAGCUGGUUGGUGGGGUAGUGGCUUACCAAGGCUUUGCCGGGUAGCCGGCCUGAGAGGGUGACCGGCCACAUUGGGACUGAGAUACGGCCCAGACUCCUACGGGAGGCAGCAGUGGGGAAUAUUGCACAAUGGGCGGAAGCCUGAUGCAGCAACGCCGCGUGCGGGAUGACGGCCUUCGGGUUGUAAACCGCUUUCGCCUGUGACGAAGCGUGAGUGACGGUAAUGGGUAAAGAAGCACCGGCUAACUACGUG